This 6547-nucleotide long non-coding RNA is filed under the name Homo sapiens (human). RNAcentral's name for it is "non-protein coding MIR9-3HG:11". The record is from RNAcentral. Lineage: Eukaryota; Metazoa; Chordata; Mammalia; Primates; Hominidae.
GAGCAAUGUCCUGGGAGGCCUGGCUGAGCUUGUGUCCAGGAGCACUGGACUUGUGUUAAACACUGUCCCCUUGGAUGGGCCCAGAAGUCAAACCUGUCCAUUAGAUUUUUUUUUUUUUUCCUUUGGGAGAGCUGGUAUGGGCUGGUUGUCCUCCAGGAGAGCCCUGUUCUCACCCGAGGUCUGUUAAUGAGCUGGGGACAGGUGAGCCUCACACGUUCCAACUUGGCUGCCUUCAGCGGCAUCCAGGAGCAGUGGUGAGCUAUUAAUGGAAGGUGCCGGCUUUGUGCUAAUUAGAACUUCCUUUCAGCUUCCAUCUGUGCAGACACUGGAGCCCCUCACUGGUCAGCCUCGCCGUCCCAACCCCCCUCAGUUUGCAACCUAGUUUUUGUCCCCCCCACCCCCCAUGAAUUAGGGGGUGCUAUGAGUGGAGCUGCUUUCCUCUAGCUCUGGUCAAAUCCCGGCUCUUUGUGUAUUGCAGAACUGUACUGGGUGGUAUUUCUCAGGGCUUCUCUCUCUUGUUGGGGUGGAGAUGGACCUGGAAGAUGGAGUUGGAAAGGGAUUUGGGCACCAUGGCCACCCUCCUGGGUAGGCUGGACUUACAUCAUCGACCUGAGUUUGUUUUGUGAAAGACCUCUCUCCUCUGCCCUCUGGAGACUGUGACUUCAGACCCUUGUCCUCUCCAUUACCCCAGUCCUGAUGUCUCCCAAGUCUGAUGGUACCCACCCAUGUCAACUACAGCUGCCAUCUUUGCCAUCUCAGGCAGCCUACAGGUGGGGGCUGUGUCCUUGACCCUCUUCUGAAAAAGAAAAACCUAUUUUUUUCCUUCACUUUUGCUUUUUAUUUCUUUCACCUCAGGCCCAAUGGAUAUAUAUAUAUAUAUAUAUAUAUAUACAUAUAUAUAUAUACAUAUAUACAUAUAUAUAUAUAUAUAUAUAUAUAUAUUUUAAUGGAGGUUGUCUCUUACAGAGGUUUCAUUGAAAAAGAAGAAACAAUGUCCCAUUAACGUCAUUUAAAGAAAAAGCACCUCUCAGAAUGGAGGUUGGGAAAGCUAGGGUUUCUUGCCUGAAUAUCAGUUGGGAUGAAAUCCCUUGUAAGGAACUCAAGAGAGGAGCGUUUCCUCAGAAUGCUUUCUUUAGCUCCUGAGUCUCCUUAGGUCUCCACUGGGGUUGUGUGUAAAAAUACCAAGCCCUCCCUGACAAUGCAUCUCAUUCUCUUCUGCUUGAAUUAUCCUGAUAAUGAGAGAUCACCCACUUCUUUGACAGUGUAGACUAGGAUUUUAAAAAUUGGGAGUGAAUUAUUGGACAGUGUGGCACUUCACCAGCUUCCCUCAAGGUUCUGGAUCUAUGCUAAAGAGGGGUGGAAAUGCUUCUGGGGUGUCCAGAAGGGCUGCAGAAAUUCCUCGUCACUGGUCAUGGGGAGAGCAGGACUGGCUUGCCUCUGUGGCCUCUUCUGCCUCUGGAGGUGACAAUUCCUGAUUUGAGGCACUAGGGUGGAAGACUCAGGACUAUCCAGGACCAGGUUAAUAAACCGGCAGUCCAGAUUGCAGAAGGGCAGCAGCUGGGGGCUGGGGACAUGCCCAUGCCUGUGGGACAGAGUUCUUUUGCAUGCUUUGGCCUUUACGACUCUGUAUCCUUGACAAGUCACAGGCAUCUCUGGGUGAAAUGGGGACAAUAGUACCCAUACCUCCAAGGGUUAUGUGAGAAUUAAGUAAAAUAUGCAAAUAAAGUGCCUGGCAUACAGUAGGCACUGAGCAAACGGUAGCUCUUUUUUCCAGGCUGGGGCAAGGGAUGCAUAUAAAUGUCUGGAUCUGAAGUUUGAAAUUCCACCUGCUGGAGACAGUGAACACCCCAGUAGAUACCCCAAAUCACACAGAAGGACGGAUGACCAGCUGCCUUCUUCCCCCAGGGCAUGCCAUACACACUGGGCCUGAAGUGGGAGAAUCGGGACCCCAAAAAAACGGCUUGUGGAGCGGGGUUGCACAUGGGUGUAAAGUUCCCAGCUUGGCUGCCUGGGGAGGGGGAGCAUGUAAAUGUCUUUAGAGAUUUGAAGGGACCAGGAUCUGGACUGAUUUGCGUUGCCCAGGGGGCUGGGGCUGGGAGCCAAGGGGGUGCUGCCGGGAGGCCCAGGUUAGCUUGGGGUAUGGCAUUUCUAACAGUUGGCGCCUGCGGAAAAUGGCCUGGGGUUCCAGCUCUGGAAGGUUCCGAAUCUCAGUAUUCACGAGCGGCGCUGUCCGGAGCAGCCAGGGUUGUCCCUUGGUGGUCUCGGGCAGGUUCUCCGCGAUGCGCUUGCUGGGUCGCAGGUGAGAACCUCACGGUUCUCCAUUUCCGGAGAUCCAGCUCUGAGCAGGCAGAGGGUCGCUCCCGUCGCCUGCCCCUGCGGUAGCCAAGCGGGUGGCUGGAAGCGUGGCUAGCUGGCAGGUAAGGAGCUCCAGGUGAGACGGAACACGACCCCCAACCCCCUUAGCCGGUGCCCCACCCGAUUUCUCUCCUGCGUCCUGGGAGGGCAUGGUUGAGGCGCCACCGGUGCCCAGCAACCUCCCCAGGCUGUGGUUGUGACCUGAGGACGCGUGUGUCCCCGCCCUCAGGCCACCGCUACGCGACCCUGAGUGCACCUUCAAGAAGGCCGGGCACGUUUCUGGGCGGGCGUGGGGGGUGCCUGAUAUCUCCGCUCUAUUUUACAGUUACUCCCCUGCUGGUGCCUCCCUCCUUGGCGCGCUUCCCACCUGCGAUCGGCGCCCUCUUCGCAGUCACGAACUCGCCAGCAGCUAGCAGCACUGACUAGUAGGAGGGCCCGCCGGAGGAGAGGACAUGCUCUGGAGUCAGAAGACAGCGAAAAGAGAAGCAGAAGCCCCGGUGGCAAGAGUCUGAAGGAAGGAUGACUGUAGCCUGUGGAUUGUACUGCAGUAGGAAACUGUCCUAGCAAGGCUCCACUUUGCCCCAGCUUCAAGCUGGAAAGGAGGAGAACAUGAAACAUUGCUUGAAGACAAUGGCCGAGACAGCAGGUCCCACCCUGCACAGCCACCAGCAUCUCUCCCCUCAGCCCUGUCUCCUCUUCUGCAGUUGGGAUCUGCACAUUUAAGCCUGAAAUUGUCCUGUGAAGUGAAGUAUGAUCGGACAGCCUCUUUUCAGCUUUUAUGACAAUGGAGACAGAGGAAUUGUGGCUCUUGCCAAGGUCACAGGAUUGGAAUACAGAGCCAAGCCACCCCAGGACAUGCAAGAGCCUCAGAAGGGAAAAAAGCCCAGCAGGAAGGGAGAACAAGUAGCCUCUGUCCUGAAGUUGUAACAGCCAGGGGCCAGGAUGGAGGAGGAGGACCCCAUAAUCUGCCCAUCUGGGACUUGGCAGGGGACCUGGGAAAAUGUACCCCAACCCAUCCCUUAAGGGCCUUUGUCUUUGGCCCAUUGGCCUAGCAUCUACUUCUUCACCGUGUCUGUUCUUGUCACACCUAGUCAGGUCUGUUUGGGUCUGAGGUGCAUGGAACAUUCUGGGUAGGCCUCCAGCAAACGGAAGCUCUUCACCGUGUUUCCAGCCUGGGACCAAGGGCAGCAUACUGGCAAAGUUGCCAAAGCAAGGGACUCCAGCCUCUUAGGAGUUAAUGACUCCCUCUCCCCAGCUGUCCUCCCCUUGGUGCUCCUCUUCCUCCCUCCUCCUGCUCACAGCAGGCAGGGCCUAGACCCGGGAGCCAUGCUGCUGUGCUGUUGCCAGGGGAGCACGGAGGCAGAUCUGAGCUAUGCAGGGAAAAGGCCCAGCCUGUCAAAGUGUCUGAGAUGAACCGCCGCCGUCCCUGUGCAGCUGGGCUCAGACGUGUCUCAGCUCUUGUUCUGUGCCUGAGAAUGGCGAAACCCAGUGAGGUUCAAGGGCAAACUCGCUAUUCAUUAGUCAGGGGUUCUUGACGUCCCGUCUCUCCCAGGGAUGAGUUCCCCCCUCCUCUUUCUCCCCCUCCUAUGACACAUUCCUGGGUGCCUUUGGUGAGGACUGCACACCCUCCUCCUGCCUAGCCCCCUCUCCAAAGGCCCCUGAAUAAACUCCCCCCAAGGAGACCAGGCAGGGCAGAGACAAUGGCUGCAGGAAAUCAUUCAGGCGGGACAUGCUGGCCUGCCCUCCACCCAGUCCCCCUGUGGGCCCCACUCCCUUCUGAUUCAGGGCACCCUUGGGCCCCCAGCCUAUACAGGCCUGGACAGGAAGAAACCACUGGGAACCACCCUAAGGACAACAUGCUAGUCCAGUGCCAUUCUUCGCUGGCUCUGUGGGUGCCUUUGUGGCCUGUACCGACUGGCUGGCUAAUUUUGUGGUUUCUGUACCAUCACAUGCCUAUUUUAAGACACUCUCCAGCACUGUCGGUUAGGGAGUGUAAAUUUUGCAAUAUUUUCUGAAAUGUGGCAAUAUCAAAAUGUAAAAGGCACACAUACUUGGUCACAAACAAAUGGCACUAUUUACUCUGUGGGCAUAUUUGUAAAAGUUGCCAAAGAAUUAUAUACAAGGAUGUUCAUCAGAGCAUUUCUUUUGAAGAGUAAAGAAAUGGACAUGAACCUGUGGUCCGUUCAUACGGUGGAAUACCUAUGCAGCUGUAAAAAUCAGUGUGGUAGAUCUCCGUAUAUGAGUUGAUGUGGAAGGUUGGCCAGUUCACAUGAUAAGGUGAAUAGAAUAAGUUACAGAACAGGCUGUAGAGUAUGAUCUUAUUUGUAGAUGUUUAAAACUGAGUCAUAAGUAUGCUUAUAUACAGAUCGUUUCUGGAAGUAUGUACUGGAAGUCUACCUCUGGGGAGUGGGGAUGGGGGAGUGCACUCUUCUAUACUGUUAUAUUUUCUUUUCAUGCUCCUAAGGUACUUUUAUUGGAAGAUGUAAAGCGGUUCAAUGUAAUAGGCUUAACUUCUGUCAACUAAGUUGGCGUGGGUGCUUUAAGAGGGUGGUAGUGAUGUUGCUGGAGAAAGUAUCCCACAGUCACUGGUGGCUUCAGCCACGGGCCAUUUUGGGGCCUAAUAAUCACAUAUCAUCAUGGUUGCUAGUGUUAAUCGAAAACCUACUAAGUGCCAGGCUUACUGUCUCUGGGUCUUGCUUACGUGGAUGUCAUUUUUCCAGUUGCACCAAAUCGAAAGAGGUUAAUUGGUUUGUUGGAGUUCCUUUGUAGGUGAAGGGCAGAGCCAGGAGCUUGGCUAGGGACAGGGGAGGUGAGUGGGGGAUGGUGGAUAGGUCUUGGCUCCCAGUUUCCUUCUGGGCAGACAUUGCCCCUCUGCCCUGAGGACCUGCUUGUUUGGGGGAAGAGGCCUUUAGAGGCACCAGGGUCAUGCCAGGUGUUGGACAUGGUGAACUGGGAAGUGCUCCCAUCUGGCCACAGCGCAGAAGUAUCACCGUGCUGGGGGAUGGGGAACAGGGCUGUGAAUGGGCCUAUUUGCAUAAGCAGCAUGUGUCUGGAGAGAAAGACAUCACAGAGCAGAAGAGUGCGGGUGCCCAGGAGUGCACUUGCCACCCCUACUUCAUCCCUGAAAGAGUAAAUGGCCUGGAAGGUGUCUCUGAGAGGUAAUGCCGCACACCACCCUCCCUGGGGGCAGGGUCAGGCUACACCUGCCUUAGGUCGGGGGCUGCAGCAGCCUGAGAGCUCUCAGUAGGGCCUCAGUAGCCUGGGAGGGAGCAGGGGCAGGGGGCAGGGAAAGAGGCGUAAUGGGGCUGUCCAGAGGGGCCUGGGAAACCUGGUCCCUGAGGCCUGGGCACAGCUACAAUCACUUCAAAUUGGCUGUGGGGCCAGUGGACUGGGAAGGAAAAAAGCAAUAAGAGUGACCAAGUGCAGAAGGCUGUCAGGUCCCAGGUCACAUGCCUUAGUGCAGUGACUCCUCAUCAUUUUAUGGGGUGUGGGUGUCGUUGGUACACCCAUUUUACAGAUGAGGACACCGAGGCCCAGAAAAGUUAAGUUACAUGUCCUAAGUCACACAGCUUGUAAGUGCCAGAACUGAGAUCAAAACCAAGUCUCUUUGACUUUAAAGUCUGUACUCUGACCCCAAAGAGAUCCUGUUUGGCCACUUAUAGGAGGUCCCUAAAGCUGCAGACUCCCCUUGCCGGCACCCACAUAUAGAGACAUUAACCCUUCCCCUGCAGGGUCACCUCAAAUAGUCUUUUAGCUGGGCUUCUCCUGCAAUUCCACCUAAUGCCAUCCCCUGGGUUUUGCCCAAACCUGAACUGGGCAGUGGGGUGAGAGGAGGGGUUUACAGGGUUACAGAGCCUCAUACAGAUAGGAGCCCAUGGCUGCUGGUCAUCUGCAUUCCUGCAGGAUUGGCUGUUCCUUGGGGUCCUUGGCAGGAAAAUGAGGAUUGCUCCGAGGCCUGCUCCAGUACUUCCCAGAGGCUGGCCUGGUGUGGGGCUCUGGGAAGGCUGAGGCUGGAGAAGCGUAAGUAGGAGGGCAGAGAUGGCACUCAGGUAGCUUGAAUCACCAGGACCCUUCCAAGCCCCACAGGUUCUGAGGGAGUACUAGGGCCAGCUCUGGGAGAGGUCUCUUCCUAUGCUGUGAACCCCCUGCCUUUCUUGCAGCCUACAACGAAUAAAUUUUCUUUGCAAAGGCU